Molecule: ribosomal RNA, 397 nt
Filed under: Protaspa sp.
Lineage: Eukaryota; Cercozoa; Thecofilosea; Cryomonadida; Protaspidae
Description: partial small subunit ribosomal RNA
Rfam family: Eukaryotic small subunit ribosomal RNA
Source: RNAcentral
AUUCCAGCUCCAAUAGCGUAUAUUAAAGUUGUUGCAGUUAAAAAGCUCGUAGUUGGAUUUCUGGUACAAUGCGCCUGGCCCGCGGCGGUUACGCCUGUGAGUGCCGGUGCGCGUUUGCCAUCCUUCUAGAAAACGUUUCUACCCUUAACUGGGCCGGACUCGCGAUCUAGAUCUUUUACUUUGAAAAAAUUAGAGUGUUUAAAGCAGGCUUUUGCUGUGAAUACAUUAGCAUGGAAUAAUAAUCUAGGACUUCGGUUCUAUUUUGUUGGUUUCUAGUACUGAAGUAAUGAUUGAUAGGGAUAGUUGGGGGUGCUAGUAUUGGCCGGCCAGAGGUGAAAUUCUUGGAUUCGGUCAAGACUAACUUAUGCGAAAGCAUUCACCAAGGAUGUCUUCAUCA